Molecule: ribosomal RNA, 253 nt
Filed under: uncultured bacterium
Lineage: Bacteria
Description: partial 16S ribosomal RNA
Rfam family: Bacterial small subunit ribosomal RNA
Source: RNAcentral
UACGUAGGGUGCGAGCGUUGUCCGGAAUUAUUGGGCGUAAAGAGCUUGUAGGCGGUUUGUCGCGUCUGCUGUGAAAACUCGGGGCUUAACCCCGAGCCUGCAGUGGAUACGGGCAGACUAGAGGUAGGUAGGGGAGAAUGGAAUUCCCGGUGUAGCGGUGAAAUGCGCAGAUAUCGGGAGGAACACCGGUGGCGAAGGCGGUUCUCUGGGCCUUACCUGACGCUGAGGAGCGAAAGCGUGGGGAGCGAACAGG